Molecule: small RNA, 2882 nt
Filed under: Pongo abelii (Sumatran orangutan)
Lineage: Eukaryota; Metazoa; Chordata; Mammalia; Primates; Hominidae
Description: pseudogene
Source: RNAcentral
CCAACCCUCCACCAACCACCACCCCCAGCCCUCCAAUAACCAACACAACCACCCCUCCACCAACCACCACCCCCAGCCCUCCAAUAACCACCACAACCACCCCUCCACCAACCACCACUCCCAGCCCUCCAAUAACCACCACAACCACCCCUCCACCAACCACCACCCCCAGCCCUCCAAUAACCACCACAACCACCCCUUCACCAACCACCACUCCUAACCCACCAACCACCACCCCCAGCCCUCCAAUAACCACCACAACCACCCCUUCACCAACCACCACUCCCAGCCCUCCAACCACCACCCCCAGCCCUCCAUAACCACCACAACCACCCCUUCACCAACCACCACUCCCAGCCCUCCAGUAACCACCACGACCACCCUUCACCAACCACCACUCCCACCCUUCCACCAACCACCACUCCCAGCCCUCUAACAACUACUCCUCUCUCUCCAUCAAUAACUCCUCCUACAUUUUCACCAUUCUCAACGACAACCCCUACUAUCCCGUGCGUGCCUGUCUGCAAUUGGACUGGCUGGCUGGAUUCUGGAAAACCCAAUUUAACAAACCAGUGGAGAUACGGAAUUGAUUGGAGACGUCUGUGGACCAGGCUGGGCAGCUAACAUAUCUUGCAGAGCCACCAUGUAUCCUGAUGUUCCCAUUGGACAGCUUGGACAAACAGUGGUGUGUGACGUCUCUGUGGGGCUGAUAUGCAAAAAUGAAGACCAAAAGCCAGGUGGGGUCAUCCCUAUGCCCUUCUGCCUCAACUACGAGAUCAACGUUCAGUGCUGUGAGUGUGUCACCCAACCCACCACCAUGACACCCACCGGCACACAGACCCCAACCGCGACCCCCAUCGCCACCACACACGUAACCCCAACACCCACCGGCACACAGACGCCAACCCCGACACCCAUCGCCACCACCACUACGGUAACCCCAACACCCACCGGCACACAGACCCCAACCGCGACCCCCAUCACCACAACCACUACGGUAACCCAACACCCACUGGCACACAGACCCCAACCCCAACACCCAUCACCACCACCACUACGGUGACCCCAACCCCAACACCCACGGGCACACAGACCCCAACCACGACACCCAUCACCACCACCACUACGGUAACCCCAACCCCAACACCCACCAGCUCACAGACCCUAACCCCAACACCUAUCACCACCACCACUAUGGUGACCCCAACCCCAACACCCACUGGCACACAGACCCCAACCCCGACAUCAUUCACCACCACCACUAUGGUGACCCCAACCCCAACAUCCACCGGCACACAGAGUACAACCCUGACACCCAUCACUGCCACCAGUACGGUGACCCAACCCCAACCACGGCAACAGACGCCAACACCCCAACCCAACACCCACUGCACACAGACCCCAACCGCGACCCCCAUCCCACCACCACUACGGUAACCCCAACACCACCGGCACACAGAGUACAACCCACACCCAUCACCACCACCACUACGGUGACCCCAACCCAACACCACCAGCACACAGAGUACAACCCUGACACCCAUCACCACCACCACUACGGUAACCCCACACCCCACUGGCACACAGACCCCAACGGCGACACCCAUCACCACCACCACUAACGUGACCCAACCCCAAAACACCACCGGCACACAGACGCAACCCCGACACCCAUCACCACCACCACUCCGGUAACCCCAACACCCACUGGCACACAGACCCCAACCGUGACCCCCAUCACCACCACCACUACGGUAACCCCAAACCCACUGCACACGACCCCAACCCCGACCACCCAUCACCACCACCACUACGGUGACCCCAACCCCAACACCCCCGGCACACAGACCCCAACCCCGACACCCCCGUCACCACCACACUACGGUGACCCCAACCCCCAACACCCACCGGAACACAGACCCCAACCACGACACCCACACACCACUACGGUGACCCCAACCCCAACACCCACCGGCACACAGACCCAACCACGACACCCAUCACCACCACCACUACGUGACCCCAACACCCACCGCACACAGGACCCAACGCGACCCCUAUCACCACCACCACUACGGAACCGCACACCCACCGGCCACCAGAGUACAACCCCAACACCCAUCACCACCACCACUACGGUGACCCCAACCCCAACACCCACCAGCACACCAGAGUACAACCCCCCGACACCCAUCGCACCACCACUACCGGUCAACCCCAACACCCACUGGCACACAGACCCCAACUGCGACACCCAUCACCACCACCACUACGGUGACCCCAACCCCAACACCCACCGGCACACAGACCCCAACCCCCGACACCAUCGCACCACCCACUACGGUAAUCCCAACACCCCACCGCACACAGGACCCCAACCCCGACACCCACGCCACCACCACUACGGUAACCCCAACACCCACUGGCACACAGACCCCAACCCCGACACCCAUCACCACCACCACUACGGUGACCCCAACCCCAACACCCACCGGCACACAGACCCCAACCGCGACCCCCAUCACCACCACCACUACGGUGACCCCAACCCCAACACCCACCGGCACACAGACGCCAACCCCGACACCCAUCACCACCACCACUACGGUAACCCCAACACCCACCGGCACACAGACCCCAACCGUGACCCCCAUCACCACCACUAUGGUAACCCCAACACCCACCGGCACACAGAGUACAACCCCAACACCCAUCACCACCACCACUACGGUGACCCCAACCCCAACACCCACCAGCACACAGAGUACAACCCCGACACCCAUCGCCACCACCACUACGGUAACCCCAACACCCACUGGCACACAGACCCCAACUGCGACACCCAUCACCACCACCACUACGGUGACCCCAACCCCAACACC